AGGGUUCGAUUCUGGCUCAGGAUGAACGCUAGCUACAGGCUUAACACAUGCAAGUCGAGGGGCAGCAUGGGAGUUGCUUGCAAUUCCUGAUGGCGACCGGCGCACGGGUGAGUAACGCGUAUCCAACCUUCCCCUUAGUAGGGCAUAGCCCGGUGAAAAUCGGAUUAAUACCCUAUGUUCUUCGCAGCAGACAUCUAACGUGAAGCAAAGGUUCACCGCUAAGGGAUGGGGAUGCGUCUGAUUAGGUAGUAGGCGGGGUAACGGCCCACCUAGCCUUCGAUCAGUAGGGGUUCUGAGAGGAAGGUCCCCCACAUUGGAACUGAGACACGGUCCAAACUCCUACGGGAGGCAGCAGUGAGGAAUAUUGGUCAAUGGGCGAGAGCCUGAACCAGCCAAGUAGCGUGCCAGGAUGACGGCCCUAUGGGUUGUAAACUGCUUUUAUAUGGGGAUAAAGUUCACCACGUGUGGUGUUUUGCAGGUACCAUAUGAAUAAGGACCGGCUAAUUCCGUGCCAGCAGCCGC
Molecule: ribosomal RNA, 522 nt
Filed under: uncultured bacterium
Lineage: Bacteria
Description: bacterial SSU rRNA
Rfam family: Bacterial small subunit ribosomal RNA
Source: RNAcentral